This 675-nucleotide ribosomal RNA is filed under the name Glaesserella parasuis. RNAcentral's name for it is "bacterial SSU rRNA". It matches the Rfam family "Bacterial small subunit ribosomal RNA", at positions 216 to 885 of the family's 1533-position model. The record is from RNAcentral. Lineage: Bacteria; Pseudomonadati; Pseudomonadota; Gammaproteobacteria; Pasteurellales; Pasteurellaceae.
UGCCAUAAGAUGAGCCCAAGUGGGAUUAGGUAGUUGGUGGGGUAAAGGCCUACCAAGCCGACGAUCUCUAGCUGGUCUGAGAGGAUGACCAGCCACACUGGAACUGAGACACGGUCCAGACUCCUACGGGAGGCAGCAGUGGGGAAUAUUGCACAAUGGGGGGAACCCUGAUGCAGCCAUGCCGCGUGAAUGAAGAAGGCCUUCGGGUUGUAAAGUUCUUUCGGUGAUGAGGAAGGGUGAUGUUUUAAUAGAGCAUUACAUUGACGUUAGUCACAGAAGAAGCACCGGCUAACUCCGUGCCAGCAGCCGCGGUAAUACGGAGGGUGCGAGCGUUAAUCGGAAUGACUGGGCGUAAAGGGCACGCAGGCGGUGACUUAAGUGAGAUGUGAAAGCCCCGAGCUUAACUUGGGAAUUGCAUUUCAUACUGGGUUGCUAGAGUAUUUUAGGGAGGGGUAGAAUUCCACGUGUAGCGGUGAAAUGCGUAGAGAUGUGGAGGAAUACCGAAGGCGAAGGCAGCCCCUUGGGAAAAUACUGACGCUCAUGUGCGAAAGCGUGGGGAGCAAACAGGAUUAGAUACCCUGGUAGUCCACGCUGUAAACGCUGUCGAUUUGGGGAUUGGGCUUUAUGUUUGGUGCCCGUAGCUAACGUGAUAAAUCGACCGCCUGGGGAGUACGG